This 478-nucleotide ribosomal RNA is filed under the name uncultured bacterium. Its description in RNAcentral is "partial 16S ribosomal RNA". It matches the Rfam family "Bacterial small subunit ribosomal RNA", at positions 28 to 523 of the family's 1533-position model. The record is from RNAcentral.
GACGAACGCUGGCGGCGUGCUUAACACAUGCAAGUCGAACGGUAAGGCCCUUCGGGGUACACGAGUGGCGAACGGGUGAGUAACACGUGGGUGAUCUGCCCUGCACUUCGGGAUAAGCCUGGGAAACUGGGUCUAAUACCGGAUAGGACCCUGGGAUGCAUGUCCUGGGGUGGAAAGCUUUUGCGGUGUGGGAUGGGCCCGCGGCCUAUCAGCUUGUUGGUGGGGUGAUGGCCUACCAAGGCGACGACGGGUAGCCGGCCUGAGAGGGUGACCGGCCACACUGGGACUUGGAGACGGCCCAGACUCCUACGGGAGGCAGCAGUGGGGAAUAUUGCACAAUGGGCGCAAGCCUGAUGCAGCGACGCCGCGUGAGGGAUGACGGCCUUCGGGUUGUAAACCUCUUGCAGUAGGGACGAAGCGCAAGUGACGGUACCUACAGAAGAAGGACCGGCCAACUACGUGCCAGCCGCCGCAGUAA